Molecule: ribosomal RNA, 460 nt
Filed under: uncultured bacterium
Lineage: Bacteria
Description: partial 16S ribosomal RNA
Rfam family: Bacterial small subunit ribosomal RNA
Source: RNAcentral
CCUACGGGAGGCAGCAGUGAGGAAUAUUGGUCAAUGGACGCGAGUCUGAACCAGCCAUGUCGCGUGCAGGAUGACUGCCCUACGAGUUGUAAACUUCUUUUGUAAGGGAAUAAUGUGAGGCACGUGUGCCUGUUUGAAAGUACUUUACGAAUAAGGAUCGGCUAACUCCGUGCCAGCAGCCGCGGUAAUACGGAGGAUCCGAGCGUUAUCCGGAUUUAUUGGGUUUAAAGGGUGCGUAGACGGUUUUAUAAGUUAGAUGUGAAAGUUUGGGGCUCAACCGUGAAAGUGCCACUAAUACUGGCAGACUAGAGAACAGAUGAGGUAGGCGGAAUGCAUGGUGUAGCGGUGAAAUGCGUAGAGAUCACAAAGAACACCGAGUGCGAAGGCAGCUUACUAAACUAUAACUGACGUUGAUGCACGAAAGUGUGGGUAGCAAACAGGAUUAGAUACCCCAGUAGUC